This 507-nucleotide ribosomal RNA is filed under the name uncultured archaeon. Its description in RNAcentral is "bacterial SSU rRNA". It matches the Rfam family "Archaeal small subunit ribosomal RNA", at positions 352 to 859 of the family's 1478-position model. The record is from RNAcentral.
ACAAUGUGCGAAAGCACGAUGAGGGAAUCCCAAGUGCUUGCACGUAAGUGUAAGCUGUUUCUAUGUUUAAAACGCAUAGAGAGUAAGAGCGUGGGUAAGACGGGUGCCAGCCGCCGCGGUAAUACCUGCAGCUCAAGUGGUGGCCGCUAUUAUUGGGCCUAAAACGUCCGUAGCCAGUUUAAUAAAUGCCUGGGUAAAUCGUGUAGCUUAACUAUACGAAUUCCGGGUAGACUGCUAAGCUUGAGACCGGGAGAAGCUAGAGGUACUCCUGGGGUAGAGGUGAAAUUCUGUAAUCCUAGGGAGACCACCAGUGGCGAAGGCGUCUAGCUAGAACGGGUCUGACGGUGAGGGACGAAGCCCUGGGGCGCAAACCGGAUUAGAUACCCGGGUAGUCCAGGGUGUAAACGCUGCUUGCUUGAUGUUAGUCGGGCUCCGAGCCCGAUUAGUGUCGGAGAGAAGUUGUUAAGCAAGCUGCCUGGGAAGUACGGCCGCAAGACUGAAACUUAA